AAAGAUUAAGCCAUGCAUGUCUAAGUAUAAACAAAUUUAUACAGUGAAACUGCGAAUGGCUCAUUAAAUCAGUUAUAAUUUAUUUGAUAUUCACUUACUACUUGGAUAACCGUGGUAAUUCUAGAGCGAAUACAUGCUAAAAAUCCCGACUUCGGAAGGGAUGUAUUUAUUAGAUUAAAAACCAAUGCCCUUCGGGGCUCACUGGUGAUUCAUGACAACUCCUCGAAUCGCAUGGCCUUGUGCCGGCGAUGGUUCACUCAAAUUUCUUCCCUAUCAACUUUCGAUGUUUGGGUAUUGGCCAAACAUGGUUG
Molecule: ribosomal RNA, 311 nt
Filed under: uncultured Pezizomycotina
Lineage: Eukaryota; Fungi; Ascomycota
Description: SSU rRNA
Rfam family: Eukaryotic small subunit ribosomal RNA
Source: RNAcentral